RNAcentral lists this long non-coding RNA (1188 nucleotides) under Coturnix japonica (Japanese quail). RNAcentral describes it as "lncRNA (ENSCJPG00005010900.1)". Lineage: Eukaryota; Metazoa; Chordata; Aves; Galliformes; Phasianidae. The record is from RNAcentral.
UGAUAAAUCUAACUUCUUGCAUCAGCUGUUUGUUUGAUGCUUGCAUUGAAUUUACUGUUGAGAAGUGCCAGUGUAGGGACUGCAUGGAUGGCAUCUGUAAAGGCUUUAUGCACUUUUUUUGGUUUCUGUUCAGGUUUCAUCACUCUAAGAGCUGAUUCUGAAGAUGACAGCUUCCAAGAUGUCUGAAAAAGAGAACAUCAAACUCUGCUCUUGGGCUCAUUGGGAGAGAAUUCUGAGCUCUGCAGAGAAGUCAGUUCCAUUUUCAAGUCCCUCUGAGACAGGAGAGGAUUUGCAUUUCAGCAGAGAUAACAGCGUGUAAAACGAAAGAAGAAACCAUUCCCACUAGGUGCAGGUAUGGGAUGUACCAUUUUAGGACAGGAAUACUACAGUUGCUCCUGGAUUCCAGCAACCUGACUGUAAGCAAAUAAGCAGACAGGAAAAUGGAAGCGAUGUUGGAAAGUGAUAUGCAACUCCAACAGGCAGGUCAGUUCAUGUAUCCCUGUCUGUUGGCUGUGGGAUCGGUCUAAACCAGUAACCCUUCCUCCACUCCCAAUCUGGAUGUAGUAAGUCAUGUGGGAGGAACUGGUGAUCAGCAUGGGAUACAGCUUUAAAAAGAUGAAACAAUAGACCUUGCAUGAUACCAAAACAUUGCUGGUCAUCUUUCAAUCUUGCUAGCAAAUGUUUCCUUUACAUGGGAUAUGAUUUGUUUAUUCUACAGUUUAUAGACAACCAUGUUGUAGCUCACCUGCUGAGGUCCAGACAGUAGUGGGAGGCUGAUAUUUCUUAGCAAAUAUCUCUACAAUUUUGAGUAAAGGAUGGGUUGCUUUAUAUCACAGUGAUCUACCAGUGCAGUCUUUGCUGUUCUGGGUAGCACCUAUUACUGCCAAGCAUAACUGAUCUUUUCUAUAGGUGAUCAAGCCUGAACCUGAGUUAGCAAACCAGAACCAAAUCCGCUGUUGUGAUGGCAACUAAAUUCUUUAUGGUGGUGAUUUGUUCCUUCACAGAACUGAAGUUUCUUGUGAAAAUAAGCCAGGAUCACCUAUACUUAAUUCAGGAGUGAGGUUCAGUGAUCUCAGCUGAAUCAUCAAGAAACUUUUACAGCUACUGGAGAAAAUUCUGCUUGUCAACUGCGGUAUGUUGAUAUAUCUCAAAUAUUUCAUUUUUGGGGGCAACGAGACUUGCUUUCUU